Molecule: non-coding RNA, 4069 nt
Organism: Oryza sativa Japonica Group (Japanese rice)
Lineage: Eukaryota; Viridiplantae; Streptophyta; Magnoliopsida; Poales; Poaceae
Source: RefSeq, a predicted model, not a curated record
UAACCAGUCGUCUCCCUCACAAGUCACAACUCCAGCUACCUUCUUCCUUCCGCUAUCCCCCAGCCUUCUCUGCCGCUGCCUCCGCCGCCUCGCCACGCGGCGGCCGGCAAGCAGGGCCCCGCAGCCACGGCGUGGGCGGACUCCUCUCCUUUCCCCCCGACCACCUCCGCCCUCGCCUUCUCAGGCCUCCUCGCGCGCCCGGCCGGCGACGGCGAGCAUCUCGGCUCGAAUCGAACUGAAGUUGAAUCUGCAUGCUCCAGGAUGGAGAUCGACGGGCAGGAGCCUGGGCACGAGCACGACGGGAUGAUGGAGCCGCAGGUGGUGGACCUCGAGGAGGAGGAGGAGGACGACAGCAUCAACUUCUGGGCCUCGCUGGGCGUCCAUGCCGUCGACCAGAUGCCGCUGCACGGCGGCGUCCAGAUCGUCGACCAGCCGUCGCCGCCGCCGCAGGAGCAGGCGCAAUCGCAGUCGCAGUCGGUCCGCAAGGACCUGUUCCCGGUCGACUCCGACCCCUGCCUUGAGCCCCGGGUUGGGAUGGAGUUCGAGUCCGGCGAGGCCGCCAAGACCUUCUACAUUGCCUACGCGGGGCGCGUGGGGUUCUCCGUCCGCAUUGCUCGGUCGCGGCGGUCCAAGUGUAACGAGUCCAUCAUCAUGCUGAGGUUUGUCUGCUCCAAGGAAGGGUUCAGCAAGGAGAAGCAUGUCGUCGCGGGGAAGAAGACGAGGAAGCGGCCUGCUUCCAUCCGGGAGGGAUGCAAUGCCAUGCUCGAGGUGCUACGCAGAGGCGAUAGCAAGUGGAUUGUCACCAAGCUUGUCAAGGAGCAUAACCAUGAGGUUGGGAUGCCCAGCAGAGUGCACUACAUUGCCAUGGAGGGUGAUACGGUGGUCGACCCUUACAUUGGUAUGGAGUUUGAAUCACUUGAGGCCGCCAAGACAUUCUACUACUCAUACGCGACCCGUGUCGGGUUUGAAGCUCGUGUGCGUCAGUCCCGCAAGUCGCAAGAUGAGUCACUCAAGAUGCUGAAGCUUGUGUGCUCAAGGCACCGAUACCAUUCAGGAAGAGAGACCAAUGGAGGGGAUCCCAAGAGAGUGCAGGCCUUGGAUCCCUCCAGGGAUGGCUGUGAUGCAUUAUUUGAGAUAAUUCGGAAAGACAGAGAUGCCUGGACGGUCUCUAAACUCAUCUUAGAGCAUACUCAUGAGCUGAACCCGGCACCAACAAGUAGAGUUCGCUGUAUUCGCUCACAGGGUGAGGUACUUGUUAUUGCAAAGAACUUCUCUGACACACGCAAUCUCCUAUUGAACGGUCUAGAUUUCCAGCAUCCUAGAGAGUUCCAGUAUAAUGAUUUAGGGCCAGAGGAUGCUCAAAGCUUACUCAGAUAUCUCAAGAACACACAAAGCGAGGAUCCUGCUUUUUUCUAUGCUGUGCAGCUUAACAGUAAUGGACACACAGCCAAUAUUUUCUGGGCUGAUGCUAAAACUAGGAUGGCUUACUACCAUUUUGGUGAUGUUGUUAGGCUUGGUACACUGUGCAGAAACAGCAAGUAUAUACCUAUUGCCAUAUUUUCAGGCGUCAAUCAUCAUUUGCAGCCUGUUGUCUUUGGCUGUGCACUAAUUGUUGAUGAUUCUGAAGCAUCGUUUGCAUGGUUAUUUGAAAAAUGGCUUGAAGCAAUGCCUGUGGGCCCUCCUGUCUCGUUGGUAUUAGAGUUUAACCAAGAAAUGGCUGCCGCAGCUACCAAAAUACUACCUGAUACUCAUUGUACGUUCUGUGAGAAGCAUAUUUUGGGCACUGUCAGGGAAGAGCUAGGAAGUUUGUAUCCAGAACCAGAACUAGACCAUUUCAUUACUGAUCUGAGAAAGUGCAUUGACUGCUGCAGAUUAGAAGAAUCAUUUGAAUCAUGUUGGGAUUCUGUCAUCAGAAAAUAUGGCUUCAGAAAUAAUGAACUAUUACAGUCUCUAUAUGAAAUUCGCAGACAAUGGGCCCCUGCAUACACAAGGAAGGUAUUCUGUGCCAGAAAUCUACUGCCACAAAGCUGUCAGAAUCUUGAAAAUGUUAUCGAGAAGCACUUCUCAUCCAAGACCCAGUUAUGGGUGGCCGUUCAGCAACUUGGACAAGCUGUUUGUAAUUUUUAUGAAAAGGAAACUCAGGCAGAUUAUCUGACAACAUUUCAAAUGGCAACAGUUAGGACUGCAUCACCUCUUGAAAAGCAAGCAAGUUCAAUAUUCACCAGGUCAAUAUUUGAAAAAUUUCAGGAUCAGUUUGCCGAGUCCUUUGGGUACCAUGCAGAUAGACUUGAGGAUGACAUGCUACACAAGUAUCGUGUCACAGUAAGUGAAGGGGAUGAGGAGGCACAUACUGUUUCUUUCAAUCCAGAAAAAAAGACAGUGGGUUGUAGUUGCUGCCUGUUUGAGAGCUGCGGCAUCUUGUGUCGGCAUGCUCUUCGUGUUUUCAUUAUUGAAGGUGUGCGUGCUCUGCCAAAGGCUUAUAUCUUGAAACGCUGGACAAAGCAUGCAAAAAGUAUUGCCACUGUAGAUGAUUACAUUGAUCUAAGAGGAUGUCGUGACGAUCCUUCAACCACAAUGUACAAUGAUCUCCAUUGUGACGCAAUCAAAUGUGCAAAAGAGGGUUCGGCAUCCUCUGAGCUCUAUAGUGUUGCUAAAGAGGCAUUGCACAAAGCUCUUGAUGAGGUCGUGACUUUAAGGAAAAUCAGAGACCAGCAAAAUCUACAAAGCUGUAAAAGGCCGAUCAAGAAGUCUGCUAAGGGAAAAGAUUCAGAUCAUUCUACUAUCAUAAGCUCAACAAGGAAUGCGCUGGGCAGUGGGAACUGAAUCAAGUAGCUUAUCUUGCCAUGUCAGAUGAGCUUAUCUUCACAUACGGAAUGUCUGGUGCAGUGCACAUAAAGUCCGUACUGCUGAAGGCUGGAAAGGAGCAUGUUAACAUCUAAAUGAAGAAAGGAGUGCAAUACCAGCUGUAUACAUCAAUCAUGCUGUAUCAAGGGAGACAACCUUUGGAUACAGCUAUUCAGCAAGCUGAUAGAACAUACCUGGCAGAAUGAAUCAAGGUGGGGAGUUGAAGGGAAGCUCUGUUUUCCCCAUUACGGAGGCAAGCGUGAAGAAAAAGGUGCCACUUGCAGGCAUAUCCACAGUCCAUAGCAACUCUGAUUCCAGUUGCAAGUUGUAUGUUGCUGUUCGAUCAGUUGAAUUUUACUCGAACAGCAUGCCGCGUGCACAUAACGCCACAACCAUGUGCAGGUAAUGACAAAACCACAGAGAGGAGGGUCAGCGUGCCAAGAUAGGUCAUGAUUGAAAGCAAUGUAUGCAUACAGACACACUGCAAAAUCUAGCCUGAAGCUGGAUGCUUCGACAAUCAAAGGGUUGGCAAACUGACCACUGCUGCAUCUUACCUGGGAACAGAAAUGAGAGGAACUCCUUUUCUUGUUACUUACAAGAAAAGAAAUGCGCCCACCUGCCAUGUGCAUCGGGCUCCCACUCGAAGAUCAUCACCUCGCGAGUGGACAAGGAGAAAUGUAUGCUCUGAUAGUGGUUUCUCAGUUAUAAAUUGCACAGUUUGGUGGUACUUGUGAGGUUGCAGCUGUCAGGAUCAGAAUGGGGGAGCAUUGCAAAGCGUCUCCCUGAGCCUGAGCUUUCAGCCCCUGGUGGUUCCAGGCCCAGGCAGACGUGUCCCAACAGUUGGUUCUUCUUCCUUGUACAUGUCUCCAUCGGCUUGCUCAACCCCACCAAAUCCGCCGCGCCGGCCCACGGUCUCCUUGGCUGAGAUAGAGAUUGCAAGCGUGCUGUGUGUUGUGUGUUGUCGCUGGCAUGGAGCUUGUGGCCGAACGGAUAGACCACUAUGUUGGCCUGUCAUUGGUCACCCAAGGGCAAGGGGCAGCAUGCCUUCUGCCUUUACCAACUCUCAGGUUCCCUGCUCUCUCUCUCUCUCUGCUUUGCUUUGCUGAGUUCAUAUGCACAAUGCAAUCAUGCAUAUACUCCCAAUUAAACAGUAAUGCUAAUGCAAUGUCAAACCUUUCUUUUCAUCAUCCAAUUAAUUAUGAAUUAUCUUUGCACUGUUUGUUUA